ACCUGGUUGAUCCUGCCAGCAAUCAUAUGCUUGUUUAAAAGAUUAAGCCAUGCAUGUCUAAGUAUAAGCCGCACGAUCGGCGAAACUGCGAAUGGCUCAUUAUAUCAGCUACAAUCUACUCGAUUUAUAAAGUUACACGGAUAACUGUAGGAAUUCUAGAGCUAAUACGUGCGAAAGGGCCGGAACGGGUUUCGAUCCGCGAAGGCCGUAGUUGCAAGGCGAGAAACCGGUUCGGGGUAUUCCAAACUUCCAGGGUGCGAAUUCUGGAGGGCUCCGAUCCUGUAAGACGAAUCAUUGCAAAGCGUUGCGAAUCGGGGGCAAAAGCUUCCGAUGAUGCGAACGAGUAUCUGCCCUAUCAACUUUCAAUCGUAGUGUAGGGGACUACGAUGGUGAUAACGGGUACGGGGAAUUAGGGUUCGAUUCCGGAGAGUUAGCCUUAAAAAUGGCUAACAUUACCAAGGUAAGCAGCAGGCGCGUAAAUUAUCCAAUCCCGAUUCGGGGAGAUAGUGACAAGAAAUAUCGGUGUGGGGCCUUUAUAGGCUUCACGAUCGAAAUGAGUACAAUUUAAAAACCUUAACGAGGAACAAUUGGAGGGCAAGUCUGGUGCCAGCACCCGCGGUAAUUCCAGCUCCAAGAGCGUAUAUUAAAGUUGUUGCGGUUAAAAAGCUCGUAGUUGAACCGAGAGGGCGGAGCACGGAUUUAAAAAGCUUUCGGGCCUUCGCUUCGCGCGGGGGUUCGGGGGUCGUGGGUUCGUCCUCGAAUUUGCGAUGAACUAAACCGGCUUGGAGGGGAUUCCUUCCGUCUUCUUCGUGUAAAAAGCGAAGGGGGGGGAGGAUUCGUCUUCUUCUCGUCGGAUCGCAGAGUUUUACUUUGAAUAAAUUAGGGUGUUCAAAGCAGACGAAUACGUCUUGAAUAGAUUAGCAUGGGAUAAUGAAAUAAGACCUUCAAGAAGGGGAAAGGGCGGCUCUUCGUAGUCGUCGUUUCUUCUUUUCGGCUUAAGUUUGCUGGUUUCUGAGGCCGAGGUAAUGAUUAAUAGGGACGGUCGGGGUCGCUCGUACUCGGUGGUGAGAGGUGAAAUUCUAAGACCCAUCGAAGACGAACAAGUGCGAAGGCAUUCGACAAGGAUGUUUUCUUUAAUCAAGAACGAAAGUUAUGGGAUCGAAGAUGAUCAGAUACCGUCGUAGUCAUAACCGUAAACUAUGUUGACUCGGGAUCGGAGGAUGUUACAUGGAUGACUCUUCCGGCACCGUGUGCGAAAGCACAAGUAUUCGGACUCCGGGGGGAGUAUGGUCGCAAGGCUGAAACUUAAAGGAAUUGACGGAAGGGCACCACCAGGUGUGGAAUCUGCGGCUUAAUUUGACUCAACACGGGGAAACUUACCCAGUCCGGACGCGAUGAGGAUUGACAGAUUGAUAGUUCUUUCUUGAUUUUGUGGAAGCCGGUGCAUGGCCGUUUUUAGUUGGUGGAGCGAUUUGUCUGGUUAAGUCCGAUAACGAACGAGACCUAAAUUUAUUAAAUAGUGGUGCGGACAAGGGGGCUUUCGCGCCGGCGGGUUCGGGUUCAUAGCCCGGGUUCGUCGAUGGGGCCUCCGCAAAUUUGUUCGUAGCUUAAAAAUUACUUCUUAGAGAGACGCUUGGUCGAUAACAGCAGCCAAUGGAAGUUUUAGGCAAAAACAGGUCUGUGAUGCCGCUAGAUGUCUGGGGCUGCACGCGCGUUACACUGACGUGUUCAACAAGUAUUCGAAAAUUACCUGGCCCGAAGGGGUUUGGGCAAUCUCUAAAUGCACGUCGUGAUGGGGAUUGUGCUUUGUAACUAUCGCACAUGAACGAGGAGUACCUAGUAAGGGUAGGUCAUCAACCUGCCCUGAUUACGUCCCUGCCCUUUGUACACACCGCCCGUCGCUUCUACCGAUUGAAUUGCUCGAUGAGGACUCGGGAGGUGGAGCGUGAUCCGGUUCCGCCGGUGAUGUUCUGCCGAACCUGUUCGAAUCUCGUAGUUUAGAGGAAGAAGAAGUCGUAACAAGGUCUCCGUAGGUGAACCUGCGGAAG
This 2048-nucleotide ribosomal RNA is filed under the name Saccamoeba limax. Its description in RNAcentral is "SSU rRNA". It matches the Rfam family "Eukaryotic small subunit ribosomal RNA". The record is from RNAcentral. Lineage: Eukaryota; Tubulinea; Elardia; Euamoebida; Hartmannellidae.